CCUACGGGAGGCAGCAGUAAGGAAUAUUGCUCAAUGGCCGAAAGGCUGAAGCAGCAACGCCGCGUGGAGGAUGAAAUACUUUUGUAUGUAAACUCCUGUAAGAAGGGAAAAAUAUUCCGAUUUAUCGGAAUUGAUUGUACCUUCAGAGUAAGCACCGGCUAACUACGUGCCAGCAGCCGCGGUAAUACGUAGGGUGCUAGAGUUGUCCGGAUUUACUGGGUGUAAAGGGUGCUCAGGUGGGUUUGUAAGUCAGAGGUGAAAUCCCAAAGCUUAACUUUGGUGCUGCCUUUGAUACUGCAAGUCUAGAGUUUGAGAGAGGGUAAUGGAAUAUCUGGUGUAGCAGUGAAAUGCGUAGAUAUCAGAUAGAACACCAAUGGCGAAGGCAGUUACCUGGCUCAAUACUGACGCUAAAGCACGAAAGUGUGGGGAGCAAACAGGAUUAGAUACCCUGGUAGUCCACACCCUAAACGAUGAAUACUAGAUGUUGGUUUUUUAUAAAAUCAGUAUCCAAGCUAACGCAUUAAGUAUUCCACCUGGGAAGUACAAUCGCAAGGUUGAAACUCAAAGGAAUUGACGGA
Molecule: ribosomal RNA, 578 nt
Filed under: uncultured bacterium
Lineage: Bacteria
Description: bacterial SSU rRNA
Rfam family: Bacterial small subunit ribosomal RNA
Source: RNAcentral